CGACGGGCCCGCACAAGCAGCGGAGCGUGUGGUUUAAUUCGAUGCUACACGAAGAACCUUACCAGGGUUUGACAUGCAAGUGGUAGGAAACCGAAAGGCGACCGACCUUCGGGGAGCUUGCACAGGUGCUGCAUGGCUGUCGUCAGCUCGUGUCGUGAGAUGUUCGGUUAAGUCCGCUAACGAGCGCAACCCUCGCUGUGUGUUACAAGUGUCACACGGUACUGCCGGUCUUAAGCCGGAGGAAGGUGGGGAUGACGUCAAGUCCUCAUGGCCCUUAUAGGUGGGGCUACACACGUCAUACAAUGGCUGGUACAAAGGGUUGCCAACCCGCGAGGGGGAGCUAAUCCCAUAAAGCCAGUCGUAGUCCGGAUCGUAGUCUGCAACUCGACUACGUGAAGUCGGAAUCGCUAGUAAUCGUGGAUCAGAAUGUCACGGUGAAUACGUUCCCGGGUCUU
This 455-nucleotide ribosomal RNA is filed under the name uncultured Anaerolineaceae bacterium. Its description in RNAcentral is "bacterial SSU rRNA". It matches the Rfam family "Bacterial small subunit ribosomal RNA", at positions 917 to 1381 of the family's 1533-position model. Lineage: Bacteria; Bacillati; Chloroflexota; Anaerolineae; Anaerolineales; Anaerolineaceae. The record is from RNAcentral.